This 555-nucleotide ribosomal RNA is filed under the name Triticum aestivum (bread wheat). RNAcentral describes it as "partial small subunit ribosomal RNA". The record is from RNAcentral. Lineage: Eukaryota; Viridiplantae; Streptophyta; Magnoliopsida; Poales; Poaceae.
AUGCGAUCAAGAAGAAGGAAAAACUUCAUCCACAACCUGCAAACGAGCAACGGAGUCGCCACAUCACACGAGGAUAAAGAGGCAGCCAUCUUCGAGCACUUCAGUUCCGUCCUCGGCUCCAAAGGAGCCCGGACUAGAGCCAUAGACUGGAGCCAGCUACAGCUGCCGGAAAUAAGAGGAGGAGGCCUCGACAACCCGUUUUCUGAAGAAGAAGUCUGGGAGGCGAUCAAAGCCUCGCCAGCAGAAAAAGCCCCGGGCCCGGACGGCUUCAUUGGCGUUUUCUUCCGUAGUUGUUGGCAAACUAUCAAGCACGACAUCAUGAAGGUUUUCCACCGGUUCUACUGCAUUGCCGGCGACAAUCUUGCUACGCUCAACUCCGCCCUGGUAGUCUUGAUCCCCAAAAAGGAUGGCGCGGCAACAGUUUCAGACUACAUGCCAAUCAGCCUAGUGCACUCCAUAGCUAAGCUAAUCACCAAAGUCCUCUCCAUGCGGCUCUCCAACAUCAUCGACUCCAUAAUCUCACCGGCGCAAUCUGCUUUCUUGGCAAAGAAGAGC